This 68-nucleotide transfer RNA is filed under the name Ictidomys tridecemlineatus (thirteen-lined ground squirrel). RNAcentral describes it as "Spermophilus tridecemlineatus (thirteen-lined ground squirrel) tRNA". It matches the Rfam family "tRNA". From Rfam's summary of the family: Transfer RNA (tRNA) molecules are approximately 80 nucleotides in length. Their secondary structure includes four short double-helical elements and three loops (D, anti-codon, and T loops). The record is from Rfam by way of RNAcentral. Lineage: Eukaryota; Metazoa; Chordata; Mammalia; Rodentia; Sciuridae.
GGGAUUGUGGCUCAGUGGCAGAGCACUCGCCUAGCACGCAUGGGACCUGGGUUCGAUCCUCAGCACCA